Molecule: ribosomal RNA, 2901 nt
Filed under: Escherichia coli
Lineage: Bacteria; Pseudomonadati; Pseudomonadota; Gammaproteobacteria; Enterobacterales; Enterobacteriaceae
Description: 23S ribosomal RNA
Rfam family: Bacterial large subunit ribosomal RNA
Source: RNAcentral
UUAAGCGACUAAGCGUACACGGUGGAUGCCCUGGCAGUCAGAGGCGAUGAAGGACGUGCUAAUCUGCGAUAAGCGUCGGUAAGGUGAUAUGAACCGUUAUAACCGGCGAUUUCCGAAUGGGGAAACCCAGUGUGAUUCGUCACACUAUCAUUAACUGAAUCCAUAGGUUAAUGAGGCGAACCGGGGGAACUGAAACAUCUAAGUACCCCGAGGAAAAGAAAUCAACCGAGAUUCCCCCAGUAGCGGCGAGCGAACGGGGAGCAGCCCAGAGCCUGAAUCAGUGUGUGUGUUAGUGGAAGCGUCUGGAAAGGCGUGCGAUACAGGGUGACAGCCCCGUACACAAAAAUGCACAUACUGUGAGCUCGAUGAGUAGGGCGGGACACGUGGUAUCCUGUCUGAAUAUGGGGGGACCAUCCUCCAAGGCUAAAUACUCCUGACUGACCGAUAGUGAACCAGUACCGUGAGGGAAAGGCGAAAAGAACCCCGGCGAGGGGAGUGAAAAAGAACCUGAAACCGUGUACGUACAAGCAGUGGGAGCACGCUUAGGCGUGUGACUGCGUACCUUUUGUAUAAUGGGUCAGCGACUUAUAUUCUGUAGCAAGGUUAACCGAAUAGGGGAGCCGAAGGGAAACCGAGUCUUAACUGGGCGUUAAGUUGCAGGGUAUAGACCCGAAACCCGGUGAUCUAGCCAUGGGCAGGUUGAAGGUUGGGUAACACUAACUGGAGGACCGAACCGACUAAUGUUGAAAAAUUAGCGGAUGACUUGUGGCUGGGGGUGAAAGGCCAAUCAAACCGGGAGAUAGCUGGUUCUCCCCGAAAGCUAUUUAGGUAGCGCCUCGUGAAUUCAUCUCCGGGGGUAGAGCACUGUUUCGGCAAGGGGGUCAUCCCGACUUACCAACCCGAUGCAAACUGCGAAUACCGGAGAAUGUUAUCACGGGAGACACACGGCGGGUGCUAACGUCCGUCGUGAAGAGGGAAACAACCCAGACCGCCAGCUAAGGUCCCAAAGUCAUGGUUAAGUGGGAAACGAUGUGGGAAGGCCCAGACAGCCAGGAUGUUGGCUUAGAAGCAGCCAUCAUUUAAAGAAAGCGUAAUAGCUCACUGGUCGAGUCGGCCUGCGCGGAAGAUGUAACGGGGCUAAACCAUGCACCGAAGCUGCGGCAGCGACGCUUAUGCGUUGUUGGGUAGGGGAGCGUUCUGUAAGCCUGCGAAGGUGUGCUGUGAGGCAUGCUGGAGGUAUCAGAAGUGCGAAUGCUGACAUAAGUAACGAUAAAGCGGGUGAAAAGCCCGCUCGCCGGAAGACCAAGGGUUCCUGUCCAACGUUAAUCGGGGCAGGGUGAGUCGACCCCUAAGGCGAGGCCGAAAGGCGUAGUCGAUGGGAAACAGGUUAAUAUUCCUGUACUUGGUGUUACUGCGAAGGGGGGACGGAGAAGGCUAUGUUGGCCGGGCGACGGUUGUCCCGGUUUAAGCGUGUAGGCUGGUUUUCCAGGCAAAUCCGGAAAAUCAAGGCUGAGGCGUGAUGACGAGGCACUACGGUGCUGAAGCAACAAAUGCCCUGCUUCCAGGAAAAGCCUCUAAGCAUCAGGUAACAUCAAAUCGUACCCCAAACCGACACAGGUGGUCAGGUAGAGAAUACCAAGGCGCUUGAGAGAACUCGGGUGAAGGAACUAGGCAAAAUGGUGCCGUAACUUCGGGAGAAGGCACGCUGAUAUGUAGGUGAAGUCCCUCGCGGAUGGAGCUGAAAUCAGUCGAAGAUACCAGCUGGCUGCAACUGUUUAUUAAAAACACAGCACUGUGCAAACACGAAAGUGGACGUAUACGGUGUGACGCCUGCCCGGUGCCGGAAGGUUAAUUGAUGGGGUCAGCGCAAGCGAAGCUCUUGAUCGAAGCCCCGGUAAACGGCGGCCGUAACUAUAACGGUCCUAAGGUAGCGAAAUUCCUUGUCGGGUAAGUUCCGACCUGCACGAAUGGCGUAAUGAUGGCCAGGCUGUCUCCACCCGAGACUCAGUGAAAUUGAACUCGCUGUGAAGAUGCAGUGUACCCGCGGCAAGACGGAAAGACCCCGUGAACCUUUACUAUAGCUUGACACUGAACAUUGAGCCUUGAUGUGUAGGAUAGGUGGGAGGCUUUGAAGUGUGGACGCCAGUCUGCAUGGAGCCGACCUUGAAAUACCACCCUUUAAUGUUUGAUGUUCUAACGUUGACCCGUAAUCCGGGUUGCGGACAGUGUCUGGUGGGUAGUUUGACUGGGGCGGUCUCCUCCUAAAGAGUAACGGAGGAGCACGAAGGUUGGCUAAUCCUGGUCGGACAUCAGGAGGUUAGUGCAAUGGCAUAAGCCAGCUUGACUGCGAGCGUGACGGCGCGAGCAGGUGCGAAAGCAGGUCAUAGUGAUCCGGUGGUUCUGAAUGGAAGGGCCAUCGCUCAACGGAUAAAAGGUACUCCGGGGAUAACAGGCUGAUACCGCCCAAGAGUUCAUAUCGACGGCGGUGUUUGGCACCUCGAUGUCGGCUCAUCACAUCCUGGGGCUGAAGUAGGUCCCAAGGGUAUGGCUGUUCGCCAUUUAAAGUGGUACGCGAGCUGGGUUUAGAACGUCGUGAGACAGUUCGGUCCCUAUCUGCCGUGGGCGCUGGAGAACUGAGGGGGGCUGCUCCUAGUACGAGAGGACCGGAGUGGACGCAUCACUGGUGUUCGGGUUGUCAUGCCAAUGGCACUGCCCGGUAGCUAAAUGCGGAAGAGAUAAGUGCUGAAAGCAUCUAAGCACGAAACUUGCCCCGAGAUGAGUUCUCCCUGACUCCUUGAGAGUCCUGAAGGAACGUUGAAGACGACGACGUUGAUAGGCCGGAUGUGUAAGCGCAGCGAUGCGUUGAGCUAACCGGUACUAAUGAACCGUGAGGCUUAACCU